This 85-nucleotide transfer RNA is filed under the name Felis catus (domestic cat). It matches the Rfam family "tRNA". Rfam says of the family: Transfer RNA (tRNA) molecules are approximately 80 nucleotides in length. Their secondary structure includes four short double-helical elements and three loops (D, anti-codon, and T loops). The record is from Rfam by way of RNAcentral. Lineage: Eukaryota; Metazoa; Chordata; Mammalia; Carnivora; Felidae.
GCCUGGGUGGCUCAGUUGGUUGAGCAUCCGACUUCAGCUCAGGUCAUAAUCGCGUGGUCCAUGGGUUCAAGCCCCAUGUCAGGCU